RNAcentral lists this ribosomal RNA (1202 nucleotides) under uncultured fungus. RNAcentral describes it as "eukaryotic LSU rRNA". The stretch from base 566 to 1202 matches the Rfam family "Eukaryotic large subunit ribosomal RNA", at positions 1 to 649 of the family's 3401-position model. Lineage: Eukaryota; Fungi. The record is from RNAcentral.
AAGUCGUAACAAGGUUUCCGUAGGUGAACCUGCGGAAGGAUCAUUAACGAAGUUUUGUCUGAAAAGACAUUCUUUCAACUAAACACCUGUGAAUUAUUUACAUCAUUUUGCUUUGGUCAAAUUUAUUUGGCCAAAAGUUUAAAUUAAAACCUUUUAUUUUAACCUUGAUAGUCUGAAAUUGAAAAUAUUUUAAUUAUUUAAAACUUUCAACAAUGGAUCUCUUGGUUCUCGCAUCGAUGAAGAACGCAGCGAAUUGCGAUAAGUAAUGUGAAUUGCAGAAUUUUGUGAAUCAUCGAAUCUUUGAACGCACAUUGCGCCCUUUGGUAUUCCAAAGGGCAUACCUGUUUGAGCGUCAUUACAACUCUUAAAUCAAAUUUUUGAUUUAGUAUUGAGCCAUAUUUUUCGAAAGCAAUUUUGAAAAUGGUUUGAAAUUGAUAGGGCUGAAGCAAUUCCAGUAUUUGGAGGCUUUGAUUACAACGUAAUAGGUUUACCAACUCGUUGGCUUAUAUCGAAGNUCUUUCUUUGGAAUUUUCGCUUUUGCGUUAUAAAAUGACACUUUAAAGUUUGACCUCAAAUCAGGCAGGAUUACCCGCUGAACUUAAGCAUAUCAAUAAGCGGAGGAAAAGAAACCAACUGGGAUUGCCUUAGUAACGGCGAGUGAAGCGGCAAAAGCUCAAAUUUGAAAUCUGGCGUCUUCGGCGUCCGAGUUGUAAUUUGAAGAAGGUAACUUUUGGAUUGGCUCUUGCAUAAGUUCCUUGGAACAGGACGUCAUAGAGGGUGAGAAUCCCGUUUAUGGUGAGAUGCCCANUCCUCUGUAAAGUGCUUUCGAAGAGUCGAGUUGUUUGGGAAUGCAGCUCUAAGUGGGUGGUAAAUUCCAUCUAAAGCUAAAUAUUGGCGAGAGACCGAUAGCGAACAAGUACAGUGAUGGAAAGAUGAAAAGAACUUUGAAAAGAGAGUGAAAAAGUACGUGAAAUUGUUGAAAGGGAAGGGCUUGAAAUCAGACUUGGUAUUCGACGAUCAAUUUUCCUUCGGGGAUGUGCACUCGUCGUUUACUGGGCCAACAUCGAUUUGGACGGUGAGAUAAUGACAAUUGAAUGUGGCUUGUUCUUCGGUUCAAGUGUUAUAGCCUUUGUUGAUAUCACCAGUCUGGAUCGAGGUCUGCGCAUUUUGCUAGGAUGUUGGCGUAAUGAUUUUAAGCCACC